This 185-nucleotide small nuclear RNA is filed under the name Microcebus murinus (gray mouse lemur). RNAcentral's name for it is "U2 spliceosomal RNA (ENSMICG00000023025.3)". It matches the Rfam family "U2 spliceosomal RNA". Rfam says of the family: U2 is a small nuclear RNA (snRNA) component of the spliceosome (involved in pre-mRNA splicing). Complementary binding between U2 snRNA (in an area lying towards the 5' end but 3' to hairpin I) and the branchpoint sequence (BPS) of the intron results the bulging out of an unpaired adenosine, on the BPS, which initiates a nucleophilic attack at the intronic 5' splice site, thus starting the first of two transesterification reactions that mediate splicing. Lineage: Eukaryota; Metazoa; Chordata; Mammalia; Primates; Cheirogaleidae. The record is from RNAcentral.
ACCACUUCUCAGACUUUUGACUAAGAUCAAGUGUAACAUCUGUUCUUAUCAGUUUAAUAUCUGAUAUGUCCUCUAUCCAAAGAUAAUACAGUAAAUGGAUUUUUGGAGCAGGGAGAGGGAGAGGAACUUGUUCUGCCCACUCCAUACAUCGACCUGGUAUUGCAGUACCUCCAGGCACUCCUCCA